RNAcentral lists this ribosomal RNA (253 nucleotides) under uncultured bacterium. RNAcentral describes it as "partial 16S ribosomal RNA". It matches the Rfam family "Bacterial small subunit ribosomal RNA", at positions 524 to 776 of the family's 1533-position model. The record is from RNAcentral.
UACGAAGGGGGCUAGCGUUGCUCGGAAUCACUGGGCGUAAAGCGCACGUAGGCGGAUUGCUAAGUCAGGGGUGAAAUCCUGGAGCUCAACUCCAGAACUGCCUUUGAUACUGGCGAUCUUGAGUCCGGGAGAGGUGAGUGGAACUGCGAGUGUAGAGGUGAAAUUCGUAGAUAUUCGCAAGAACACCAGUGGCGAAGGCGGCUCACUGGCCUGGUACUGACGCUGAGGUGCGAAAGCGUGGGGAGCAAACAGG